AUUAACUUGGCAGACAAGUGCAUUGGAUUUAGAAUUCAAAUAUAUUUAUAUUAUAAUUAGUU
Molecule: transfer RNA, 62 nt
Filed under: Petrobiellus sp. 2 JZ-2014
Lineage: Eukaryota; Metazoa; Arthropoda; Insecta; Archaeognatha; Machilidae
Description: tRNA-Leu
Source: RNAcentral